UAUUGUUCAAUUGAGGAUCUUUACUAGCUUCACACUAGAUGAACUUGUUAAUGGGUAUAUUUUGACCAUGAACCAUAUAACGGUAGCUUUCAUACAAUCCCUAAUAGGUAAACUUCUCGAUUUUUAUAAUAAAAUUGUGUACUAGCUUCAUAGUAUAUGAAGUUGUUAAUGUGUUAUAGCUUUCACGCUAUUUUGUUGGUAGCUUUCACUCUAUUAGGGUGGUAGUCCUCACCUCUCUACACAUCUUUUACAACAAAUUUGAGAUCACCAACAAAAUUACAAUGGUUCAAUUACUAUCUAGGAUACUUCUUACCAUCUGAAUUUGCGAUAUUUUCAAUUUUUAAUUUCCUCCAAUAUUUUUAUAUGUGUAUGUGUGUCUAUGCUUAUGUAUAUAUAAUCCACUAUCAUAUAUAAUUAGGGAUAGCCAAAAUCACAUUACUUUUAUUUUAAUGAUCAUGCAAAACUACAAUUAAAUCACAUUAAUUUUAUUUUAAUGAUCAUGCAAAACUACAAGUAUAGUUUCGAUUUUUAUUUAUUUAUAUUAAUGAUAUUGGGAGGUAGGAAUGGAACAACAUUUAAGUAGGUUGCUUAGUUUCUUGUACAAUUACUAUUAAUUAUGUUGUAAUAGUGUUAAACAAAAUUUGCUUGCUUAAUUAGUUGUUCCAUAUUUGUUUUAAAAAGCAGUUAAAGAAAAUGUUUGUAGUUCAAGUGUUUAAGAACAAUCAUAGAGAAAAAAGGACAAUGUGCAUUAAUAAAAUAAGUUUUGGGUAUGAAAAAGAAAUUUUCAAAUCGCAAUAAGAUUACCUUUUGUAAAUUAGUUAAUUACCUAAAUAAGGAAUCAGAUAUAUAUUGCGACAAAAAACGCAUGACCACACUCCAUGCCAUAUGUGUUUGCUCAAGAGGCGUUCAACAUGAAUCACAGGGAUCUGUCACAUUUGCUUUGCUUGUAAUUCUUUGAUUUCACUAGAACUAAAUUUCUGUAACACAAAAUAAAAAAGUUAAAUUUUUUUAUUAUAUUAUUAUACUAUUUCAAAUAAAAGAUUAGGUCCCAUAAGCCUCAGUCGUUGAAAAAUGUUACACGAACUUUUGUUGGAUAAAAUGAGGUAAGUGAAAUGUCCAUUGGGCUUUAAUUCAGUUUUAUGGGAAUGUUGAAUUAAGACAAUUGUUUACAUAAAAACCCAAUAUUAAGUUUAAGUCCACUACUAAUUAGAAAACUGAUUAAUAUAAUAAAAUUGUAUAGAUUAAUAAUAGAGAGAGUACAAAUAUACACACGCCUAACCCUAGGAUUACAAGGAGAAAAUACACAAUUGGGAUAGGGUUAGGAAUCCUAAACAAGGAAGAAAAUCCACAAUUGGGAUAGGAUUAGGAAUCAUAAACUAGGAAGUAAAUAAAAGGGCAAACAAUAAUAUAUGAGUGCUGCUAUUUCCACCCCUUGUCCUAUUUCCCCACCCACUUUAUCUUCUCACCCACCAUAUAAAUUUUUAAAAAACAAAAUCUUAUCUUCCCACCCACCAUUAUUUCUAAAAUACCCUUAAAUUAUUAAAUUAAACUAAUAAUAAAAUAACAUUUUAAAAAAUAAAAAAUACAAACAAAAAUCCUCUCUCCCCCUUCCCAACUCAGCCCCACCCCCUCAGCAACACUACACUAGCCAUCAGCCCCUCCUCCACCUCUUCACCCUUCACCAUGGCUUGAGCAAAAUCCUCAAAAAACUUAGUUAUUUGUGCAGAGCUUCUUUAAUCUCUGCACAAAAUUGGGGUUGAGGGCUGGGAGCUACAAGAUGAAGCACGAUUCAUACCAAAAAAAUGCGAAUUCACCUCUACACAAAACUCUUACGAAUUCACCUGCACUCACCUUGCGAAUUCACCUCUAGUCUAAUAUCAAUAAAAUACUAACUCACCGAGAAUUCAGAAGAGAAAAAAAACAGAAACAAAAAUCUAGAAAGAAAAAAAUAGUAACGAAGCAGAGAGAGUUUUUGUUUAAAAAAAUGUUGUUUUACUUUUAUUUGAAAUGUUUUUAAAAAAGUUUUUAACUUAGGUCAUUAGAAGACAUUUUACAAAGAGAUAAAUUUAUUUUUAAAAUUUGAAAAAUAAGAUGAGUGGAAAAAUAUGACAGGUAUGUGGAAAUAACAGCACUCUAAUAUAUAUUUACAAUUUUCUUUAACAGGAGGCCAUCACGCGAGAGAAGAGAGAGCAGGGAAGGUAGGGGUGAAUUAACCCAGUUGCAAACACACACACAACCUCUUUUGGCAAGCUUCGCAGUGGCAUAAGCAGUAAGGGGUUCUCCUUGAGUCUGGAGUCUCAGAGUGGAGGCAAGUGAAAGACCAACCACUGCCGCAUAGGGUUUUGCGAUUUAAGGAGUUUUUCCUAUGCAAGAUGGUAAAGAAGUGGAUCCCCUUGUCCCGCCUAUUAAGGGUAAAGAAGUGGAUAUUGAUCAUGAGGACGAGAGAUUUUACGGCAAAUCCAAUUGGUCGUCGUCGUCGGAGCUGAUGGAUAAGGAGGAUCUGGAGGCAGGGGGGAGGAGCAGGAGUCUAAAGAAGCUUUUUAUGGCGGAUUCGAUUCGGUGUCGCGGGGGCAGUUGGUGAUUAGAGACCAAUUGGAUGCUCCUCCACUGCCACAUGGGAUGAGCACUCCAAAAAUCUUGUAUUUAUGUUUUGGCGAAUAUAUGGCGGAUAAUCAGGUUCUGUACUCUAUUCAAGCACUGCGCUUGGAUUCUUUCCCUCCAUUACAGACUUUAAAGGCCAAGGAACUGGCAUAUAUACGUGGUGAAGGGCUUCCUCUCCGUAUGGGUUGCAGUCUUUUCGGAUGUAACAUUGUUUGGACGGGUACGGCAGUUUCCCAACAUAUCCACAGAAAGACAUUUACGCUUUUGACACUAAACAUCCCUACACCUGCCAAGUCUUCAACAACAGUUCUCUCCGACAAGGGAAGUCUCGUCCGCUUCUGGUGGAGUACUACGACAAGCUGUAUGUGCUCUCCACUUUAAUGUUAGGGCUUAGUGAUGGUAGACAUUUAACGUUUUUAAGGUAGGGAAACCUGGUUUGCUCGUUCGUGUAGUUGUAGGCUCAUAUAUUUUUGUAUGUUCCUCAUUUGACCGUGUAUUUCGCUUUGACAUGGCUGACCCCAGCCAAAAAUGGAGAGCGCACAAGUUUAUCAACUGCAUUGGAUUGCCCUUUGAAAGUAUUGGCGAAACUUUAACAGUAGAAUUUGGGGAUGAAGGUUGGGUGAUUUUGAGUUGUAAGCCAGAGUUAUAUGUUGUUGACGAGUACAGUGAUCCUCCUCAUUCUCGUUAUUAUGAAUGGAAGGGUACUUUUAUGCCCGCCUAUUUGAUGUCCAAGGACAACACAUUAGUGACACCUUUUGAACCUGAUCUCAAGAUUCCGCAUGGUUACUUAUCCCCUGGAGAUAAACCUUUCCAUUUGAGUGGUGUAGAGUAUAAAAUGAUCCAUCUACAAGGUCGAGAAAUCUGCCCUACUAUAAAAUGGUCCGGGGUCGGGGAGAUGGAGAGGAUGCAGACUUAUGUCAUGAUUUUUGAAUUUGAAAUUGUCAGGGGCAAACACACCUUAGCCUACAAAAUCUUGCAUCCUCUUUCCAAGAUUAUAGACGACCGGUUGUCUGAAUCUAGAACCAAUAAAGUUGGCCUGGAGGGUGCCUUUUUUCUGUAAGUUUCGUUAACUGAUUACUUAUUUCAGUCAUUUUGAAAACUUCACCAGGUAGUUGCAUUUUUAUGGAUUUUUACUGUAUAUGCAUUAUGUAUAUGUAUGAUGAUGCAGUUAUGUGGUCUUAGUAUUUAUCUUUUCUCCAAGAGAAGUGAACCUAGAUUCUUAAUUUUGCUGCAUAUAUGUAUAAGUUUAUCUCCUAAUAAUGAAUUUAUUUAAGGUUUUUAGUGGUAAUAGAUGGAGUCACAGCGGAUUUGAUCUAGUUUUGUUAUUUGCUUCAUUUUUAAACAUUGGAACAGGUAAAAGUCUUUUCCACUAGUAAUGCCACUUUCUUUUCUUUUUCUACUUAUCUCCCACUUCAUAUCACUGUUAGUAGAACCCUUGAUGAACUUCUCUCCACAGAGUACCUCUUCCGUGAAAGCGUCCACUUCCAAUGUAUAGUAAAUGGACCUCAUAACCUGUGUCCUGCGUCAAUUUUAAUAUUCAGCAUAAAAUAUUAAAACAACAAAAUUGGAAACCAAGAAGCCAAAGGUGAAUAGAGUGAGUUUGAUUUGUUUGAGGAAAUUACCUAAGACUGCUUUCUGGACCACAUACACGAGUAACAAUCUUUGGUAAAAGAUUAAAUGUAAAGAAAAAAAAAGGUACCCAUUUAAUAAACCUAUGCUUCCGAUGCAAGAGAACUAUAAACUUGGAUAUUUAGUACAGCAAUACCUAAAAAUGGACCCGCCAAAAGGCCAAGGCAAUAGCUAGCUACUAAGAUACCUUCAGAGAUGCUGCAAAAGCUUUCUUAGGGGAAGAUCGUUCUGACGUUGAUGUAGACAUAAACAAUAAGCCCAUUGUCAAAAACAUGUACGGUUUUGUGGGUCGAAUUGAAUAACCCAAAAUAGCAGAAUCAUGAGCCCAUUAAUUUUUGGGAUAUUAUGAUAUCGAACAUGUUAUUAUGAGCAUCGAAUUUUAGAUUAAAAGGUAUUUAAACAUGACUCAAACCUAAUUAGAGAAAACGACAAGCAGAGGUGGUGGUCCUUAACAAUUUGGUGCUGCUGAGUGCAUAGUCUAUGUCCAAUAGACAAUCAAUAUGGAACAAUUAUUAUUAUUAUUAUUUUGUAUUUUUUCAUAACACGGGACAAUUGAUUUAGGGUCAAAUAUUGUUAAAUCGAGAAUCUGUACUAGCUUCACACUAUGAACUUGUUAAUGGGUAUAUUUUGACCAUGAACCAUAUAACGGUAGCUUUCAUACAAUCCCUAACAGGUAAACUUCUCCAUUUUUAUAACAAAAUUGUGCACUAUCUUCACACUAUAUGAAGUUGUUAAUGUGUUAUAGCUUUCACACUAUUUUGUUGGUAGCUUUCACUCUAUUAGGGUGGUAGUCCUCACCUCUCUACACAUCUUUUACAACAAAUUUGAGAUCACCAACAAAAUUACAAUGGUUCAAUUACUAUCUAGGAUACUUCUUACCAUCUGAAUUUGCAAUAUUUUUAAUUUCCU
Molecule: long non-coding RNA, 5139 nt
Filed under: Prunus persica (peach)
Lineage: Eukaryota; Viridiplantae; Streptophyta; Magnoliopsida; Rosales; Rosaceae
Description: long non-coding RNA (PPER_LNC005610)
Source: RNAcentral